GAUGAACGCUGGCGGCGUGCCUAAUACAUGCAAGUCGAGCGAACACAUCCGGUGCUUGCUCCUGUCACUUUAGCGGCGGACGGGUGAGUAACACGUGGGUAACCUGCCUAUAAGACUGGGAUAACAUCCGGAAACGGGAGCUAAUACCGCAUAAUAUUUCGAGCCGCAUGGUUCAAUAGUGAAAGGCGGUUUUGGUUUCACUUGUAGAUUGAACCGCCGCGCAUUAGCUAGUUGGUAAGGUAACGGCUUACCAAGGCAGUGAUGCGUAGCCGACCUGAGAGGGUGAUCGGCCACACUGGAACUGAGACACGGUCCAGACUCCUACGGGAGGCAGCAGUAGGGAAUCUUCCGCAAUGGGCGAAAGUCUGACGGAGCAACGCCGCGUGAGUGAUGAAGGUCUUCGGAUCGUAAAACUCUGUUAUUAGGGAAGAACAAAUGCGUAAGUAACUAUGAACGCCUUGACGGUACCUAAUCAGAAAGCCACGGCUAACUACGUG
Molecule: ribosomal RNA, 497 nt
Filed under: uncultured bacterium
Lineage: Bacteria
Description: partial 16S ribosomal RNA
Rfam family: Bacterial small subunit ribosomal RNA
Source: RNAcentral